RNAcentral lists this ribosomal RNA (673 nucleotides) under Fustiger fuchsii. RNAcentral's name for it is "partial 28S ribosomal RNA". Lineage: Eukaryota; Metazoa; Arthropoda; Insecta; Coleoptera; Staphylinidae. The record is from RNAcentral.
GCCGACUUCCAUGGCCACCGUCCUGCUGUCUUUAGUUACUAACGCCUUUUGUGGGGUCCGAUAUGCGUUGAUUUUGGCACUAUAACUUUACGACCGGUUCAUCCCGCAUCGCCAGUUCUGCUUACCAAAAAUGGCCCACUAAAGGCCUUUACUAUCUAUCCAUUUGCUACGUAGCACGCUAGCUAAUGGAAAACACACACAUUAACAGUUUGAGAAUAGGUUGAGAACGUUUCGAACCCAACGACUCUAAUCAUUCGCUUUACCGCAUGUGACUAUCGUUACUAGACCUCAGCUAUCCUUAGGGAAACUUCGAAAGGAACCAGCUACUAGAUGGUUCGAUUGGUCUUUCGCCCCUAUACAUAGUUCUGAUGAUCGAUUUGCACGUCAGAACCAUUGCGGACCUCCACCAGAGUUUCCCCUGGCUUCAUCCUUUCCAUGCAUAGUUCACCAUCUUUCGGGUUCCAGAGCACGAGCUACGAGUACGGCAACGCCAUUGCUGACGCAUAAUUGCCAUCUCCGAUUUGCCUAGACGCCUCUAUAUAUAUAUAUAUAUAUGCGCGUCUCAUCAUACAAACUUGAGUUGCCGAAACAACUCUCGAUUGCUUUCGUUAAGUUUGACGGAUUCUAUAAAAUGAACCUUUGCGUCACGCUCGUUCGCUGGACUCCUUGGUCC